GCAGGCGCGAAACCUUUACACUGCACGCCAGUGCGAUAAGGGGAUCCCAAGUGCGUAGGCAUAGAGCCUACGCUUUUGUCCACCCUAGGGUGGUGGACGAAUAAGGGCUGGGCAAGACCGGUGCCAGCCGCCGCGGUAAUACCGGCAGCCCGAGUGAUGGCCGAUCUUAUUGGGCCUAAAGCGUCCGUAGCUGGCCGCACAAGUCCAUCGGGAAAUCCACCUGCUCAACAGGUGAGCGUCCGGUGGAAACUGUGUGGCUUGGGACCGGAAGGCGCGACGGGUACGUCCGGGGUAGGAGUGAAAUCCUGUAAUCCUGGACGGACCGCCGAUGGCGAAAGCACGUCGCGAAGACGGAUCCGACAGUGAGGGACGAAAGCUAGGGUCUCGAACCGGAUUAGAUACCCGGGUAGUCCUAGCCGUAAACACUGCCUGCUAGGUGUGGCACCCACUACGAGUGGGUGCUGUGCCGUAGGGAAGCCGCUAAGCAGGCCGCCUGGGAAGUACGUCCGCAAGGAUGAAACUUAAAGGAAUUGGCGGGGGAGCACAAG
Molecule: ribosomal RNA, 548 nt
Filed under: uncultured Halorubrum sp.
Lineage: Archaea; Methanobacteriati; Methanobacteriota; Halobacteria; Halobacteriales; Haloferacaceae
Description: bacterial SSU rRNA
Rfam family: Archaeal small subunit ribosomal RNA
Source: RNAcentral